CAUAAGUGUUAUCUUCCUAUAGGGACACGUAUCGCCCUUUGAUUGGGCUACGUGUCACUAUGGGAUUGGUCCACGUUUUGGGGUAACUUUUACCCUAAACUAAAGUCGAUUAGCACAAGUGGUCAUUUGAAGUCCCAUUUGUCAUCCAUCUUCAUUUACUUUCCUUAGAGAAAGUUAUUUUUUUGCUUUGUUUUGUUUUCUACAUUAGUGAGUUUUAUUUCUAAUUUUCUGGGUUUUUCUCAAAUAUUCUGGGAUUUUGAUUUUCGUUAUGUAUGGGAAUUUUAUAUUAGGGUUCUAAUCGUAGGGAAGGUGAUUUGGAUUCAUAUAAAUUUUUGUCAUCAACUCUAGUAUCAAUAUUAGCGCAAAUUGCGAAGGUCUUUAGUUGGAAAGAUGCAAAAAUAUCGAAAAUCACUGUUCGCAUCAAGUUUGAAGCGUUGGAGUGUGAGACAUGCCAAAUAUACAAAAUAGUUAUGGUUUUAUUUAUAAAGGUUUUGUUAUUUUCUCUAAAUAUGUGGUUUACAAAUCUAUGUUAUUAUUGUAAAUGUCGUAUGACUUUUUAUUUAUUUAUUUAUUUUUAUUUUUAUUUUUGAAUAGCUCGUAUGACUUUUCAUUAAUGAUAUUAAUAUAGUAUUCUUAUUCUCGUAAAAAAAAUAUAAUAAAUAACACAACAUGACAUUAUCCAUUUCUUCAUCAAUAAGUAUAUUAAUAAUGUCAUUCAUGUAAGAUAAAUGAGCAAGAUAUUGUACAGAAAACAACACACAUAAUACUUCAAAAAAAACAAGAGAGUAAGCCAAUCCAAUCACACAAGUUUCUGUCUCUAGGAAACUAGAGCCUUAUCCCCAACCGCUUUCCACCGUCUUCCACCUUCAGCAACUUCAUCAAUCAUCUUCAUACAAUUUCGAUCAUCGAUCCAGAAAAUAAUUUAAUGUUUUAUAACCACUUUUUUCCUUUAAUUUCCUUGUUCUUUUCGGUAUUCCUACUUAUUAAUAAAGAUUCCACUAUUUUUGUUGUUCUCCUGUUUCAAUUAAGAUGACGGUAACUCAACCCUUCGCUCAAACAAGCCGAAGUCGCUUAUCCUCAAGCCUUAAUCCCUAUUUUCUCCAUCUUCUGGUACUGGGCAAGUUCAUAGACUAUAGGAAUUUCUCAGAGACCCGAAUUUAAAGGUUCAGCAGCGUACCAAGAGGCUCUCUUGAUCUUUACACCUUGGACUCGGGGUAAGUCAAUCAGAGAUAUGAAAUUUAACGAGGCUGAUAUUUGGGUUCAUCUCAGUGAGGAACCUCUAAACUUAUGCGAGAAUAAUGUCGUUAAUCCAAUGCUUGCUCUGGCUUGGAAAAUUCUAUGUAUUGAUGAACCCCAUAUAGGAUUAAUUAGAUGCUUGGUUAGAGUAAAACUCCA
Chenopodium quinoa (quinoa) is the source of this 1395-nucleotide long non-coding RNA. RefSeq lists it as uncharacterized. NCBI's taxonomy places the organism in Eukaryota, Viridiplantae, Streptophyta, Magnoliopsida, Caryophyllales, Amaranthaceae. The record is from RefSeq and is a predicted model, not a curated record. The transcript is spliced from 2 exons.